This is a long non-coding RNA of Chenopodium quinoa (quinoa), 534 nucleotides long. RefSeq lists it as uncharacterized. The record is from RefSeq and is a predicted model, not a curated record. Lineage: Eukaryota; Viridiplantae; Streptophyta; Magnoliopsida; Caryophyllales; Amaranthaceae. The transcript has 3 exons.
UUUUCAAUUCGACUUCUUGGAAUCUCAAGUUGAAGAGCUGGGCGAAACUCAACUCAAUUCGAAGAGGAUUACGAAAAUGUCAGCGGGGAAUGGUAAGCGUAAACGUACAAUGGUGAGGGUUUUUGGGUUAUAUAUAUAUUCUUCAGGCUGGGGAUGUGAUUAUGUUUUGAAUUAUGGUUUUAUGUCUUGUGUACCAAAGGUUGGGGCUGAAGAUGAAGAGGGGUAUGGGCUCAGUAAGAAGAGUAAGGUAUGUGGGCAGAAGACCAUGCAUUUGUAUCCAGAAUUGUUUAAGGUACUACAAUAUGGCAUUUUGUGCGUGUGAAAUUGGUGUUUUUGCAUGAUUAAGGUUUAUGCAUGAAUUAAGUUACUGGUGUGCUUAGGAUGACAGAUUAAGUUAUGGAGGGGCUGUCAAAGGUAGAGCGGAGGUGAUGGCUGAACAUUCAAAGGCCAGAAGUCGGCCUCCUAACAUGAGUUGCCGCAUUGAGUCAUUUGGGCGCAUAUGUCAGAAAUUUGAUGACAGGAGAAGACGUUGGG